CUCAGUUUAAAGUCUGGGUUCCAAGUAUUAUUCUGAAACUAUUUCUAGAACACAGAGAGGGAGUGUCUCCUUUCCCCACCCUCACUGCCAAGCCUUGUGGUUCCCUGUGAUGUGGGGGCUACUUGGACAAUACCUGAGAUUUUUCUGGCCAUUGGCCUACUAGGAUUAAAGAAGUCUUUUCAGGGUAAAGCUGAGGGAGAAACUUGGAAACACACUACCUGAUGGUCAUGGGUCCAGCAGAAUUGGCCUUUGGGGGUUUUAUUUGGUUCCAUGUGCCUGGGGGUCUUUAUCAGCUUAGACUUCAUCAUUGGCUCACAGUAAAUCUCUGGUCUUAGUAAUGAAUAAUUAUGACUUCCUUUGCUUAAUUUCUUUUACUGUCUAUGCCCUGGGGCCUCUGCUCUUCUCACCAGAAGGAAUGUUUAAUCUGGACUCUGCACACUUAGGCUAGGAUCUCUUUGCAGUGUGACCAACUUGCCCUCAUCUCCUGGGAGGUUGCUGUGGUUUCCACUCAAGAGUGAGGGUCUUGGGAAUCAACCAACCUAGUUGGCCUUUUAUCUUCUGGGAUCCCAAAGUUCUCACCAAUGUUUUGGGGUAUCCUGGAGCAAAGACCUCCAUUUGGGGGGUGUCACCAAGUUUUCUAUACCACCUGAGGCCACCCUUGACCCCAGAGCUCUAGCUAACAUCUUGAACUCAAGUGAUCCCACCAGGCCCCAUAUUUUUAUCUCUGUCUAAGCAUUAUCCCCCAUUUAU
Ceratotherium simum simum (southern white rhinoceros) is the source of this 750-nucleotide non-coding RNA. The record is from RefSeq and is a predicted model, not a curated record. Lineage: Eukaryota; Metazoa; Chordata; Mammalia; Perissodactyla; Rhinocerotidae.